UGGGGAAUUUUGGACAAUGGGCGAAAGCCUGAUCCAGCCAUGCCGCGUGAGUGAAGAAGGCCUUCGGGUAGUAAAGCUCUUUUAGUCGGAAAGAAAGAGUUGCAAUGAAUAAUUGUGAUUUAUGACGGUACCGACAGAAAAAGCACCGGCUAACUACGUGCCAGCAGCCGCGGUAAUACGUAGGGUGCGAGCGUUAAUCGGAAUUACUGGGCGUGAAGGGUGCGCAGGCGGUCUUGCAAGGCAGAUGUGAAAGCCCCGGGCUUAACCUGGGAAUUGCGUUUGAAACUACAAGGCUAGAGUGCAGCAGAGGGGAGUGGAAUUCCAUGUGUAGCAGUGAAAUGCGUAGAGAUGUGGAAGAACACCGAUGGCGAAGGCAGCUCCCUGGGUUGACACUGACGCUCAUGCACGAAAGCGUGGGGAGCAAACA
Molecule: ribosomal RNA, 427 nt
Filed under: uncultured beta proteobacterium
Lineage: Bacteria; Pseudomonadati; Pseudomonadota; Betaproteobacteria
Description: bacterial SSU rRNA
Rfam family: Bacterial small subunit ribosomal RNA
Source: RNAcentral